This is a long non-coding RNA of Phragmites australis (common reed), 3208 nucleotides long. RefSeq lists it as uncharacterized. The record is from RefSeq and is a predicted model, not a curated record. The transcript is spliced from 4 exons. Lineage: Eukaryota; Viridiplantae; Streptophyta; Magnoliopsida; Poales; Poaceae.
UAUUUUUUUCCCAUUUUGCCCUCUGACUCUGGUCGUGACGCCGGUUCCACCGCCGACCCUUUCUGGCGACCCAUCAAGAUCUCGAGCUGCUGCUGCAAGCACCACGCCGCCUACGACCUGCCUCUGCCGUCUACAUCACUAGACUACCUCUUCCAAUCCAGGGGUCACUGCCUAAUGCUACCCGCAGUUGAUUUUCCUUUAGCAAUUGGGCAAAAGAAAAAAAAUUCUCUGCGCUUGGGUGCACAUGCAUCACACUGUCCGUGCACACCAGGUGCUCGACGAAAUUAUCCAGUGGGGUUGGCGGUGGCGAGCUUAAGACUUGGGAGGUGGAGAAGACAACCAGUGUUGAGGCCUCGUCUCGAGGGCAUGGAACUGGAGCGACUGCGGUGUGCACUAUGCAACUGAGGCUAAACUGAACUAAUAGCCUGUGGCGAGGACAAGUAUGCUCCACUCUGGGCAAGGACGGUGGAGGCGUGCUGCGGCUGUGGGGCUCAGCACGUAGGUGGCAACGCAUCAAGCCAUCAACGAUGGCCAAGCUGCCAUCAGAACCUUUUUUCCCCUCAAUAAUUAGUGACUGAGCGAGCUGUGUUUCCUCAGUUGUGUCUUCAGUUUUCAAAUCAAGAUUAAAAUAUAUCCAGCAUCCGAAAUAAAAGCUAGAGGCAUGGAAUUCUUUACAUUAUUACAUCAUGAUACGAAUGCCAUGGAUCUUGGGCUCUGGCCGGGCAUAUGUAAGGUUCCUGUGCCAAGAUUGACAACUUGCUCCAAUGCUGGUACCAACGUGGCUUUGGUACUCAAGCUAUGGAAGGUACGUUAUGAAAUUUUCUUCCUCACCUUCUGCUUACACAUCCAUAUGAAUGAGAUAAGCCAUCUUUCAACUGCAAUUAGUUUAGUAAUUAAAGAUUGAUUGAUGUGAUUGGGGAAAGUUACGAAAGUCACCAUUUCUGCAAGCAAUCGUGACUAUGGCCUCAUGUGUACAUGUUAAUUUAGCACCGGUUAUAUAUGUUUCCAUACUCUCAGUUAUUUUGCAUCUUUAUUAAGAUCAUCUAAUGUUUAUAUGUACCCUCCCAUGUAUCAGGUGAUGUGGGAACUAAUCCAAAUAGUGACUUUUUAAAACAUCGAUGUUCCUUAUCAACCAAAGUCAAAUGGAAAAACAUAUAUAUCUGUUUAUGUGUUACUGGAAUGCAAAUCUGCUAAUGAAGCUAUAAAAUCAUUAUAUUUAAAUUGAACUUUAGCUGUGAGGUAGGGCCGAACAUUUGUUCGAAUAGUCUAUCGUUACAUUGAAAUCAAGCAUGGCUUUAGGACCACUUUUAGUUUAUGGUUACCAUGAGAAUGUUGGCUGGAUUAUAUGGCCAGGCAAGAAGCAGCAGGCCCCGUAUCAUGAGAAUUUUUGCUUUAUGGUAUGUAGUUUUUUUACAUGCAGUUGUCAAUGUGAAGUCUUGAAACUGUAGAUAGUUUAUGUGAUAUGUUGAAACUGUAGAUAGUUUAUGUGAUAUGUUGCAUCGUGUUGUCAUAAUGAUGUUGAAAGUUAUCUUUACCAAGAGAUAAGUCCUGGGGAACUAUACAACCGAAAAUUAAUCCUAUAGGUCGUAUAGGCUUCCCAUGAGAAAUGCCAACGGUUACUGUUAUGUGGCUUCUAUUUUGGAUGGGAAAACUAGCUAGAGCUAAUAUUUUUCUUCGAAACAUAGAUCAAAAUGUACGCGGAUGUGGUAAGUUAUUUAGUUUUUCUGCCUGCAUCAAUUCCAAUAGUUUAAAGCUGGGACUUGAGAGUGGAACUCUACUGGCAUUGACACAUUGUAACAUCUUCUAGUUCAAAUGUGCUUCCGUGAUAUUGUCUAUAGUUUCUAUGCUGGAUUUUUCUUUUAUGUACAGAUUCUGACUGUGAAGAUGUUCAUGUGGUGGAUCUGAUCUAGGUGCUUGUUGCAGACUUUGGAACAAGCUCGUUGGUUCAAUUGCAAAAGGACGAUUUUGGAUUAUGCAUGAAACUUCAGUUAGUUCUACUUCUGCAUGAGUUUUGGGUAGGAAAAUACAAAGGAAAAUAAUUCCCAUCGAAAGAGUAUAAUGUCGAAAUCCUAACCACACGCUAAAGAGAGUUUCUGCGGUACUGAAAACAAGGGUGCAGUACUGAAUAUGUCUUCAAUAUUUUCAUAUGACUGAAAACAAGGGUGCAAUACAGGAACAUUGCCUUUAAUCAGAAAGUGGAAAGAAUACUACCUCUUCUUGAUGAUUCCGAACUUCAUUAAUUUAAUUAGGUAUGAGCUGUAGAUCGUAGCUUGGUAAAGGUCAUGCAACUACUCCACAUUGUAAUUUCAUAAUGUGCAUUCUCUAGUAAUUCAGGCAUGCGGAUUACACUAUGAGUUGACACUUCAGUCUUCUUGAGUACAUACUACCGUAGCAGGUAGUGUUGAUUCUUGUAGGGUUGUGGCUACGACAUACACAGAUUGCUCUUUUAUGUGUCAGGUUAAAAGCCUUUUAUAUUAUUAGUCUUUGCUUGGUGCUGAAUGUUGCUACAUUUUUCAUUGUUUUUUUGAAAGGAAAACACAGCUGGGGAGGCCCCUACUAUUAGAUUUUAUUAAAAAAAACUGAAAAAGAAGAGCAUAAGAACAGGAAUAAACAAAGACCCCACAGGCCAUAUGAAAGAGCUCACUUCAAGGGCAGGGGUGGAGACAUAACAGCCCACCCAAAAACAAGAGAGAGCUCAGAUUCUAGCUGUGAACUCUUCAAUCCAUUCUAAAAUUUUAGCCCUAGCAUCUUUGUUUAUUCUAUUUGGCUGAAAUUCCCCAAGCAACUAUGAUGAACACCUCCAUGAAGAAAGGCAUAUUAAAGCUUGUUUUGGCAUUGGUCAACAUACUGAAAAAUGGUCAUUGUGAAAUCCAUUGUAUUCCAAGACUUUCCCAACAAUCUUUAUUGAAGGCACACUCAAAGAAAUGAUGCUAGGUAGUUUCCUCCGGAUGCUCCAUACAAAGCACAUAGUUAUAGUUGUUACCUUGUGUUCAGUCUGUCCAUGAGGAGAAGCCAUGUGAAGACUCUGAGUUUGUUGCAACAUUUAGAUUGCCAGAUCCACAAGAAUGUUACGUAUUUGUAAGGUAGGUUAUAGCAUUUCUUUGAAGAAUAGGUGGUAGAUCCCCAUUGUAAUGACAUGAAUCCUUGCCAUCUUGCCUAGCAUGUAAUUCGGUGUUCUGUAGAAUCUCUUAUGACUGAAGUUAUUCAU